RNAcentral lists this ribosomal RNA (380 nucleotides) under uncultured bacterium. Its description in RNAcentral is "partial 16S ribosomal RNA". It matches the Rfam family "Bacterial small subunit ribosomal RNA", at positions 355 to 727 of the family's 1533-position model. The record is from RNAcentral.
UGGGGAAUAUUGGACAAUGGGCGAAAGCCUGAUCCAGCCAUGCCGCGUGUGUGAAGAAGGUCUUCGGAUUGUAAAGCACUUUAAGUUGGGAGGAAGGGCAUUAACCUAAUACGUUAGUGUUUUGACGUUACCGACAGAAUAAGCACCGGCUAACUCUGUGCCAGCAGCCGCGGUAAUACAGAGGGUGCAAGCGUUAAUCGGAAUUACUGGGCGUAAAGCGCGCGUAGGUGGUUUGUUAAGUUGGAUGUGAAAUCCCCGGGCUCAACCUGGGAACUGCAUUCAAAACUGACUGACUAGAGUAUGGUAGAGGGUGGUGGAAUUUCCUGUGUAGCGGUGAAAUGCGUAGAUAUAGGAAGGAACAUCAGUGGCGAAGGCGACCA